CACGUGAACCCCAAGCGUUAUCCGGAUUUAUUGGGCGUAAAGGGUGUGUAGGCGGCACUAUUAGUCUUUUGUUAAAUCCCUCAGCCCAACUGAGGCACGGCAAAGGAAACGGUAGUGCUUGAGGAUGCGAGAGGUGCACGGAACUCAUGGUGUAGAGGUGAAAUUCGUUGAUAUCAUGGGGAACGCCAAAGGCGAAGGCAGUACACUGGCGCAUUCCUGACACUGAGACACGAAAGCCAGGGUAGCGAACGGG
RNAcentral lists this unclassified non-coding RNA (253 nucleotides) under uncultured Parcubacteria group bacterium. Its description in RNAcentral is "contains 16S-23S intergenic spacer region". It matches the Rfam family "Bacterial small subunit ribosomal RNA", at positions 524 to 776 of the family's 1533-position model. The record is from RNAcentral.